GACGAGAGUGAUGAGGGGAGAGAAAAGGAAGGGAAGCGAAGACAGGAACGAAAGCACCACAGGCCACGAGAGAGACAAAAGCGAACAAGACGAUAGCGGUUCUUCUUGCCGUUGCUGUGGGUUUGCAGCUCUUCGAUUUCUUGUCGCCAUUACAGAAGCAGAACGAUAUUGACUCUGCAUCACUGCUGUCAGCUACAGCUUCAAGUUACUGUGCUCUUUAGCUCCAGUCCGAGUUUUCUGAGGAGAAAUUUAAGACAAUAUAUUUUUCUUUAGAAUGAUUUGUUACAAUUAAUUUAUUUUUAAAAAUUAUUAGGUAACCAAAAAUUGUUUAAAAAUAUAAAUGCGUCGUAUAAAAUCAAGAUAUGCAUGAAAAAUGAUCAUCGGAUUCAAGCUAAAGGCAAAGGCAGUAUUGCUGUGCAAUUUAAUUUGGAACCUAAAUUUCUUCGAAAUGUGCUAUUAGUGCUAGAUCUGAAGCAAAAUCUGCUAAAUAUUUAAUAACUUUUAUAAAAUAAUUAUAAAGUUCAUUUUGAAGAUAGAGGUUUCAAAAUUUUUGAUUGUAGAAAAAAUAAUUAUCUAUUUGUCAAAGUUGAUAUAGAGAGGUUCAAAAAAAUUUCAAUGCAAAUAAAAUAUGUUUCAUAAGCGACAUUAUGAAAUGAAGUAGCUGACUGCUUAGAUUGAUGGCAUAAAAGGUACAAUCAUCUCAACUAUAAUACUCUAAAGC
Molecule: long non-coding RNA, 721 nt
Filed under: Carica papaya (papaya)
Lineage: Eukaryota; Viridiplantae; Streptophyta; Magnoliopsida; Brassicales; Caricaceae
Description: long non-coding RNA (CPAP_LNC001671)
Source: RNAcentral